AACGAACGCUGGCGGCAGGCUUAACACAUGCAAGUCGAACGCUCCCUUCGGGGAGAGUGGCAGACGGGUGAGUAACGCGUGGAGACGUGCCCUUCACUUCGGGAUAGCCCUUGGAAACGAGGUGUAAUACCGAAUACGCCGUAUUGGGAAAGAUUUAUCGGUGAAGGAUCGGUCCGCGUUAGAUUAGAUAGUUGGUGGGGUAACGGCCUACCAAGUCGACGAUCUAUAGCUGGUCUGAGAGGAUGAUCAGCCACACUGGGACUGAGACACGGCCCAGACUCCUACGGGAGGCAGCAGUGGGGAAUAUUGGACAAUGGGCGCAAGCCUGAUCCAGCCAUGCCGCGUGAGUGAUGAAGGUCUUAGGAUUGUAAAACUCUUUCGCUAGGGAAGAUAAUGACGGUACCUAGUAAAGAAGCCCCGGCUAACUUCG
Molecule: ribosomal RNA, 430 nt
Filed under: uncultured Alphaproteobacteria bacterium
Lineage: Bacteria; Pseudomonadati; Pseudomonadota; Alphaproteobacteria
Description: bacterial SSU rRNA
Rfam family: Bacterial small subunit ribosomal RNA
Source: RNAcentral